This 431-nucleotide ribosomal RNA is filed under the name uncultured Thiobacillus sp. RNAcentral describes it as "bacterial SSU rRNA". It matches the Rfam family "Bacterial small subunit ribosomal RNA", at positions 946 to 1382 of the family's 1533-position model. Lineage: Bacteria; Pseudomonadati; Pseudomonadota; Betaproteobacteria; Nitrosomonadales; Thiobacillaceae. The record is from RNAcentral.
UUAAUCGAUGCAACGCCGAAGAACCUUACCUACCCUUGACAUGUCCGGAACUUGCCAGAGAUGGCUUGGUGCCCGAAAGGGAAUCGGAACACAGGUGCUGCAUGGCUGUCGUCAGCUCGUGUCGUGAGAUGUUGGGUUAAGUCCCGCAACGAGCGCAACCCUUAUCAUUAGUUGCUACGCAAGGGCACUCUAAUGAGACUGCCGGUGACAAACCGGAGGAAGUGGGGAUGACGUCAAGUCCUCAUGGCCCUUAUGGGUAGGGCUUCACACGUCAUACAAUGGUCGGUACAGAGGGUUGCCAAGCCGCGAGGCGGAGCCAAUCCCACAAAGCCGAUCGUAGUCCGGAUUGUUCUCUGCAACUCGAGAGCAUGAAGUCGGAAUCGCUAGUAAUCGCAGGUCAGCAUACUGCAGUGAAUACGUUCCCGGGUCUU